Long non-coding RNA from Lactuca sativa (garden lettuce), 800 nucleotides. RefSeq lists it as uncharacterized. Lineage: Eukaryota; Viridiplantae; Streptophyta; Magnoliopsida; Asterales; Asteraceae. The record is from RefSeq and is a predicted model, not a curated record.
AAAGAAAGGUUGCUGAGGCUUUGACUGUUUCCAAGGAAGUAGUCAAAGAAAGUCAUUAGAGUUCAUUGCAGGGAAUGUAGUAAAACAGUUUAAAAAUAAAAACUAUAACUGGGACAAAAGAGAAUGUGAGAUGUGUUGUGUAGAAUUUUUUUUAACAUAAACCAAUUAGUGGAUUAACAUAGGUAAAUAACAGUUACCACAAAAUUAGCAACAAAUGUUUGCUUAAUUACUUAGGCAAACUCCAAUGAUUGGAUUAGCGCAGGUAUGUAUGGUUUUAGUUAUAUAAGACUACAAUUAAAUUUGGAUUAUAUAUUAUUAGUUUUAAAAAGUAUUGUAAUGUUGUAAAUUGUAAUUAUUUGAUAUGUGCAGAAUCAAUUCUCACAUCCGCAUGAUUUGCAGGGUCAACAUCAAAAAAAAAUAUCAGUCUACGGAGGUUGGCAAUUUCAGUGACCUUUUAGGGGCAAAUAUUUUUUGUCUGGAUUCCGAGAUAUUUAAUAUUUGACGAUGAUAUCAUAUUACUUUUCGGUUUGUUAUAUGAAUCUCAACAAUCUCCUUCCCUACAACAAAGGUUAAAAGGAUUUCAAGAGAAAUUGGAGGUGUCUUUUAUGGAAUUUCAAUCUUGGACCUUACAUGGGAACCAAUUCAUUUCUGAAAUAAGUUCUCAGCUCUAGGAUUUCACGUAUGUAAGUUUUUAGUUAUGGAAACUUAGUUAUCAAAUUUGCUUUAGGCUUCACUAUCUGUAAUUCUAUGAUAUUAGUAGCUAUAGUUUAUCCAAAUGAAAAUUUUAUAAUGUUUGCUUC